This is a non-coding RNA of Meleagris gallopavo (turkey), 504 nucleotides long. NCBI's taxonomy places the organism in Eukaryota, Metazoa, Chordata, Aves, Galliformes, Phasianidae. The record is from RefSeq and is a predicted model, not a curated record.
UCUGUCACAAUCGUUUACCUUUUUAUCAGUCUGCCUAGAAAGGACAAAGUUGGAGAAGCUAAUGUAUCUGUUUUUCAUUCUUCUGUCAUCCAUGUAAUAGACAUUCUAUACAUAAAAUCAAGUGCCUCUAGGAGGGAAAAAAAGAAGCUUUGUAUCCUGUAAACACAUCUGCAGUUCAGGGGAGAUCACUCUUCUUCUCCAGCAGCCAUCUUCUAACUAUUGCAUUUAUGAAGAGCAACCACAUCUUCUCUCAGCUUUUGGUUUUCUUGGAUGAAAAUAACAAAUUGUCAUCUGCAUUUCCUCAGGGCAAGCAAGACUGAUUGUUCAGUGAAAUGAUGAUGUUACUCUGUGUUGCUGAAUACUUGGCAAAGGGAGUUAAGAGUGCCCAGACCAAGGACUGAGCAAAUAUUUUGAAUCAGUAUUUUGGAGAUCAGCCACAAGACCAGAAGUUGGGGAAAACACUGGUAACUGAAUCUAAUUUAGAGAGAAUAACCUUCAGUCAAA